This 122-nucleotide non-coding RNA is filed under the name Protocruzia adhaerens. The record is from RNAcentral. Lineage: Eukaryota; Ciliophora; Spirotrichea.
AAUCAUUCAUAUAAAACAGGACCGACAUGAAAAAGUUUGAAUGGAAAAGAAAAGCUUUUUCUCUCUUGUUUAUCAUUUUCGUUUCUUUUUCUUUUUGAGGACGUCUUUCAUUUCUUUUCAUC